GCAGAAGCCACGGUAAUACGGAGGGUGCAAGCGUUAAUCGGAAUUACUGGGCGUAAAGCGCACGCAUGCGGUCUGACAAGUCAGAUGUGAAAUCCCCGGGCUUAACCUGGGAACUGCAUUUGAAACUGUCAGGCUGGAGUCUUGUAGAGGGGGGUAGAAUUCCAGGUGUAGCGGUGAAAUGCGUAGAGAUCUGGAGGAAUACCGGUGGCGAAGGCGGCCCCUUGGACAAAGACUGACGCUCAGGUGCGAAAGCGUGGGGAGCAAACAGGAUUAGAUACCCGUGUAGUCCCUGUCUCUUAUAC
RNAcentral lists this ribosomal RNA (302 nucleotides) under uncultured bacterium. Its description in RNAcentral is "partial 16S ribosomal RNA". It matches the Rfam family "Bacterial small subunit ribosomal RNA", at positions 508 to 807 of the family's 1533-position model. The record is from RNAcentral.